GUAGUGGUUUGAAACGAACGUGUUUUUUUCUCGUGCCGAAAACCAUGUGUGACGAAAAACAUGAGCAACGGAUAAACGUAAAAUUUUCUCGUUAAACUAAAAAAAAACUCCAACUGAGUGCUCUAAGUUGUUAAAAGAGGCCUAUAGUGAGGAUUUCCUAUCUCGGGCGCGUGUUUUUGAGUGGCAUAAAUUAUUUUCUGAAGGUCGAGAGUGCACCGGAAUCCAAUUCAAUCGUAAUCCAAAUUCAAAACCGUUUUCUUCGAUAUCAACGGUAUCGUGAUGACUGAAUGGGUUCCAGAGGAUUAAACUGUGAACCAACAUUACUAUUUGACAGUUUUGGCAACAUUGCGCGAAUGAGUUCGUAAGAAAAGGUCGAUAUUGUGGAAAAACAAGUCGUGGAUCUUGCACCAGGAUAAAGCGUGAAGCGUUAUUUGGCCGCUUAAGGCACUCCAGUACUCGAACACGCGUCUUAUUCACCCAAUUUGGCACCCUGCGACUUUUACUUGUUUCCGAAGAUAAAAUCUGUCUUAAAAGGAAUCCGGUUUGAGUCGAUGGAAGAGGUGAAAGAAAAAUCGGCGGAACUCCUGAAUGGUCUUACGAAAACAGACUUCCAGCACUGCCUGGAGCAAUGGAAGAAACGAAUGAAACAGUAUGUGGCGAGGGGAGGGGAGUAUAUUGAAGGGGAGCAUUUGAAUGUAGAAUAACUUUUAUAAUAAAACACUUUUUCGUAAC
This is a non-coding RNA of Cinara cedri, 732 nucleotides long. NCBI's taxonomy places the organism in Eukaryota, Metazoa, Arthropoda, Insecta, Hemiptera, Aphididae. The record is from the annotation of a GenBank genome assembly.